This is a non-coding RNA of Ceratotherium simum simum (southern white rhinoceros), 404 nucleotides long. NCBI's taxonomy places the organism in Eukaryota, Metazoa, Chordata, Mammalia, Perissodactyla, Rhinocerotidae. The record is from RefSeq and is a predicted model, not a curated record.
ACUUAACCGCUAAGCCAUGGGGCCGGCCCCCAAAGAAAAAAAAUAUUUUAAUUUCAUUCUUAAAUAACCUCAAUUCUUACAAAUGGGAUGUAUGUGCCUGUUGGGCACCAUACAAUUUUCAAACAUUGGACUCAGAUUGAAUACCUGUUCCAUAUUCAUUUUCAUAUGAUACUUGCUUUUUAGCUUAGCAAUUGCCAAAACUCAGCUUUGCAAAGAUAUGACAUCAUGGACAAAAAUAUAGCGCAGCUGAAAAGAAACAGUUUAUUAUCUUAAGCUACUAGUUCACGUGGUGUCUGACAAGCUGUCUAAUAUUCCCGUGUUAACCUCAAAAAUUUAAAAUAUCCUAGGCUACCACAUGAGUUUGCUGCAGCUGCCCAGAGUGCCUUGGUUCACAGUUUGGGAAC